Cicer arietinum (chickpea) is the source of this 1038-nucleotide long non-coding RNA. RefSeq lists it as uncharacterized. NCBI's taxonomy places the organism in Eukaryota, Viridiplantae, Streptophyta, Magnoliopsida, Fabales, Fabaceae. The record is from RefSeq and is a predicted model, not a curated record.
UGAAUUAUGGUAAAAACAAGUUCAUCCUUUCAACGUGGCACCUUCCCUACUUCAAGUCAAGUAGCUAAGCUGGUCACUGAAUCUCUCUCCUUUUCUUUUAACUCCCUCUCCUAAAUUGAAAAUGCAUGUCGGAUUUUACAUUUGCAUCAACAAUUUCCUUUUCAGUUUUACUUUCUUUUUUAACAUCAACGUUCUAUUAUAUACCAUUGAAAGAGGGUGCAUCGUUUAGGAAGGUUAUUCAUCUGUCGAGUUUUCAAGCUCUAUGUGGAAGGAAAUAGUAUUCUCUACUGUUUGAAAUCAUUUGGCAAAUGAUAUUCUCUACUGCAUGAAAUCUGUUCCAAUGGUGCCUAAAUCCUUUUGGAUGCUAGGGAGUUUCAAAUAAUUAAUUAAUGGUAAGUGUAAUGUGGUGUAGGAGAUGUCAAAGAAAAUAAUAUUGGAUGGAUAGGUGCUGUUACUGGAUCUGACUCAUUGUGGCGACUGUAUAUGAGGGCAAGAGGCGGCAAUGUUUCAAUUUAUGCGGAGGCUUGACAUAAGCUGAUGUGCCAUUAAGUUUAAGGGCUGCACAAUGCAGAAACCAAAUUUGAAUCAGAGUGGAUGAGGAAGACGAGCUCAUUGGUGGAGCGAUAAACACAGGAUGUUGUGGAUGUGGUGGAGUGAAGAUGCAGCAAAAAUGAGAAGAAAAGGGUGAGCAAGAAAGCCAAAUUGGCUAGUUUUUAGAAGGGUUGCAUGAAAUAAUUAGGUUAUGUAGUUAUGAUUUAUGAUGAAUGGGGCUGCUGCUGGCGAUGGUCUUGUAACCGGGGUUUGAUCCAAUAAGGAUGGUACGGUUGCUGGUUUGCUGUCAAAAUACACUGCUAAUUUUUCUGCAUAAUGACAGCGAUGAACAUAUUAUUCUGAAUAAACAAUGCUGAAUAUUCAGUGGGUUUGUUUGAAUUUUAUUUGGGUGCAAUCUUUUGUAAUAUGCCAUUGCUUGAUGAUGGUGGAAUUGGGUGAAAUGCUAAAUUAUGAUCACCUAGCAUGUCUUGUGCUAGUGAGUAUGAA